UGGGGGAUAUUGCACAAUGGGCGAAAGCCUGAUGCAGCGACGCCGCGUGGGGGAUGAAGGCCUUCGGGUUGUAAACUUCUUUUGCUCUGAACAAGGCGCACCAUGGGGUGUGUUGAGUGUAGGGGUUGAUUAGCGCCGGCUAACUACGUGCCAGCAGCCGCGGUAAUACGUAGGGCGCGAGCGUUGUCCGGAAUUAUUGGGCGUAAAGGGCUUGUAGGUGGCUGGUUGCGUCUGUCGUGAAAGCUCAUGGCUUAACUGUGGGUUUGCGGUGGGUACGGGCUGGCUGGAGUGCAGUAGUGGAGGCUGGAAUUCCUGGUGUAGCGGUGGAAUGCGGAGAUAUCAGGAGGAAUACCGGUGGCGAAGGCGGGUCUCUGGGCUGUUACUGACACUGAGGAGCGAAAGCAUGGGGAGCGAACAGG
Molecule: ribosomal RNA, 419 nt
Filed under: bacterium
Lineage: Bacteria
Description: partial 16S ribosomal RNA
Rfam family: Bacterial small subunit ribosomal RNA
Source: RNAcentral